GAUGAACGCUGGCGGCGUGCCUAAUACAUGCAAGUCGAGCGAACCACUUCGGUGGUGAGCGGCGAACGGGUGAGUAACACGUAGGUGAUCUGCCCAUCAGACGGGGACAACGAUUGGAAACGAUCGCUAAUACCGGAUAGGACGAAAGUUUAAAGGUGCUUCUGGCACCGCUGAUGGAUGAGCCUGCGGCGCAUUAGCUAGUUGGUAGGGUAAAGGCCUACCAAGGCGACGAUGCGUAGCGGACCUGAGAGGGUGAACGGCCACACUGGGACUGAGACACGGCCCAGACUCCUACGGGAGGCAGCAGUAGGGAAUCUUCGGCAAUGGGCGAAAGCCUGACCGAGCAACGCCGCGGGAAUGAUGAAGGCCUUCGGGUUGUAAAAUUCUGUUAUAAGGGAAGAACGACUUUAGUAGGAAAUGGCUAGAGUGUGACGGUACCUUAUGAGAAAGCCACGGCUAACUACGUGCCAGCCGCCGCCGCGG
Molecule: ribosomal RNA, 483 nt
Filed under: uncultured bacterium
Lineage: Bacteria
Description: partial 16S ribosomal RNA
Rfam family: Bacterial small subunit ribosomal RNA
Source: RNAcentral